GCCGGCAUAGCUCAGUAGGUAGAGCAGCGCACUUGUAAUGCGAAGGUCGCGAGUUCGAUUCUUGCUGCCGGCACCA
Molecule: transfer RNA, 76 nt
Filed under: Litorivicinus lipolyticus
Lineage: Bacteria; Pseudomonadati; Pseudomonadota; Gammaproteobacteria; Oceanospirillales; Litorivicinaceae
Also listed under: 1 other name
Description: Litoricola lipolytica tRNA-Thr
Rfam family: tRNA
About the family: Transfer RNA (tRNA) molecules are approximately 80 nucleotides in length. Their secondary structure includes four short double-helical elements and three loops (D, anti-codon, and T loops). Further hydrogen bonds mediate the characteristic L-shaped molecular structure. tRNAs have two regions of fundamental functional importance: the anti-codon, which is responsible for specific mRNA codon recognition, and the 3' end, to which the tRNAs corresponding amino acid is attached (by aminoacyl-tRNA synthetases). tRNAs cope with the degeneracy of the genetic code in two manners: having more than one tRNA (with a specific anti-codon) for a particular amino acid; and 'wobble' base-pairing, i.e. permitting non-standard base-pairing at the 3rd anti-codon position.
Source: RNAcentral